This is an RNA transcript of Juglans microcarpa x Juglans regia, 2185 nucleotides long. It is a transcript of the gene named D-2-hydroxyglutarate dehydrogenase, mitochondrial, with no coding region annotated. Lineage: Eukaryota; Viridiplantae; Streptophyta; Magnoliopsida; Fagales; Juglandaceae. The record is from RefSeq and is a predicted model, not a curated record. The transcript is spliced from 16 exons.
GUCCGAGUAAAAGUGCAGUAUGGUCCUCGUCAUACAAUAGCCUGAAAUUGCUCCUGGAAACAAAAGGAAUUGGCAAUGGAGAGGUUGAGAGCUGUGCGUCGUCUCCUUCAUUACUCAUCAUCGAAGUCCCUCUUUGGUCCUCGAUCGAAUCCAACUUCCGCAGAGCAUCCACUACGUCGCUCUGCCUCGGGCGUUUGGUAUUGGUGCCCAUAUAUUGCGGAUCAAAAGGGGAGAUUCGGAGGAACUUUUUGGGGUCCUACUGUGGGGACAGGCCUUGGAAAGACGAUCAGAAUCCAGAAUAGACGCUUUGGUUCAUUGGCAGCAACGAUUCAGAGGAACCCAUCAUUUUCGACUCUGAAUUCCGAUGAUAUAAGCUAUUUUAAGGGCGUCUUAGGCGAGAAAAAUGUCAUUCAGGAUGAGGACUGGCUUCUUUCUGCAAACACGGACUGGAUGCGGAAGUACAACGGGUCCAGUAAGCUUCUACUACAACCGAGGAGCACUGAGGAGGUCUCUCGGGUUCUUAAAUACUGUAAUUCCAGAAGCUUGGCUGUUGUACCCCAGGGUGGAAAUACUGGUCUUGUUGGUGGAAGUGUUCCUGUUUUUGAUGAAGUGAUUAUUAAUAUGGGUUCAAUGAAUAACGUCGUAUCUUUUGACGAGGUCAGUGGUAUAUUGGUAUGUGAAGCAGGGUGCAUUUUGGAAAACCUGAUUUCUUUUCUGGACAACCAGGGAUUUAUUAUGCCACUGGACUUGGGUGCAAAAGGAAGCUGCCAGAUUGGUGGAAAUGUUUCAACUAAUGCUGGUGGUUUGCGUCUUGUCCGUUAUGGAUCUCUUCAUGGAAAUGUACUUGGUAUUGAAGUUGUUUUAGCAAACGGUGAUGUGCUUGACAUGCUUGGGACUCUAAGGAAAGAUAAUACAGGGUAUGAUCUAAAGCAUUUAUUUAUAGGAAGUGAAGGAUCCUUGGGAAUUAUAACCAAGGUUUCCAUUCUUACUCCUCCAAAACUAUCUUCAGUGAAUCUUGCUUUUCUUGCAUGUAAAGACUAUUCCAGCUGCCAGAAACUUCUACUGGAAGCAAAGAGGAGACUUGGGGAGGUUCUAUCUGCAUUUGAAUUUUUGGAUAAUCAGUCACUGGAUCUGGUUCUGAAUCAUUUGGAAGGUGUUAGGAAUCCAUUACCUCCCUCAGUGCACAACUUCUAUGUUCUGAUUGAGACAACUGGCAGUGAUGAAUCUUAUGACAAAGAAAAGCUUGAAGCUUUCCUACUUCGCUCCAUGGAAGGUGGUUUGAUUUCCGAUGGUGUUCUUGCACAAGACAUAAACCAAGCUUCAUCAUUUUGGCGUAUACGUGAGGGUGUACCAGAGGCACUCAUGAAAGCAGGAGCUAUUUACAAAUAUGAUUUGUCAUUACCUGUAGAAAAGAUGUACAAUCUUGUCGAGGAAAUGCGAAUAAGGCUUGGUGAUUCAUCUAAAGUAAUUGGAUAUGGUCACCUUGGAGAUGGAAAUUUACAUCUUAAUAUUUCAACCCCACAGUAUGACGAUAUGAUUUUAGCUCAAAUUGAGCCCUUUGUCUAUGAAUGGACAUCCAAGCACCGUGGGAGUAUUAGUGCAGAGCAUGGCUUGGGACUGAUGAAAGCUAAUAAGAUUUUCUACAGCAAAUCACGCGAAAGUGUGCAACUAAUGGCUUCCAUCAAGAAGUUGAUGGACCCCAAUGGGAUACUGAACCCAUAUAAAGUUCUUCCGCACUCCCUUUCUUACAGCUGAGGUAGGGACUUGAUCUAUGAUGCUUUUUUCCUCAUCCUAGAUUAUCACACUUUAUUGUUUCGAUUUUUAGCUCCUGAAGAGCAAUUUCAAAGUUGCAUAUUAAAAAAAGGAGUAAUUGCAUGGCUUGCUUCUGAAAUUUAGAAGGUAGUUGGGGAAUGAACAACAGCCUUGUGAAUUAAGCCAGUUUUACCUGAAAUGAGGGACCGGCUUUCCUGGGUAAAGAGGGAUAACAUUGUUUAAUAUUCCUUUAAGAAACCUCAUGUCACAAAUCAAUCAAUAUCAAGUCGAAAGCUCAAUCGACCACACCCUGAGGUAGCCAGCAACAUGGUCUGGUCUCAAGUUGGAGCAAGUGGACAGGCCUGAGCUACAGGCUAGUAGGAUGCAAGUCUAACUUCGUGGGGGUAAACUACAAUUUACAAAAGUUUGAGAU